Molecule: long non-coding RNA, 1380 nt
Organism: Culex pipiens pallens (northern house mosquito)
Lineage: Eukaryota; Metazoa; Arthropoda; Insecta; Diptera; Culicidae
Exons: 3
Source: RefSeq, a predicted model, not a curated record
UUUUUUCAAACGAAAAAGUGACCAACCACCGGGGGUUGAGUGUAUUGAAACAUUUAAACAUUUUAACAUUUUAACAGUUUAACAUAUUAAUCUCGAUUGUAACAUUUAAAUUUAACAUUAAACUUUAAAAAAUAAUAUUUACAAUGAACGCACUAUUACACCGAACCCGUGCGACACUCCUAAAACGAACGCACCAUGACACACUGAACAUGUGCAGCCGACGCUCAAGAAACGAACGCACCAUGGUUGAGCGAGCGCCGAGCUGUCAUCUUUUUUCACUCGCGCGUGUUCGCGUCGCCGUUUGUUUUUUUUUUUGGUUCGGUUAUUUCCGCGUAAUCGGCAUCCGGCACUUGUUUGAACGCGUUCCUGGCGAGGUUCCCGGAGCUACCUCCCGGUGUUUGUUGGACCUGUUGGACAGAUCCGCCGGGUUGAUCUGUUGUGAAGCAACAAAAAUUGCAGGAGGAGCCGCCAUGACGUGCAGGAAGGACGCGCUGGAAAGGUCCUGAACGCGUUCCCGGUGCUGGUGCUGGUGUUGACUGGACAGAUCCACCAGGCGACGGAUCCGGUACGGCUCCCGAAUGGCGACGAUUAGUUUAGCAACCACGAGGGCUAAUUUCUCGUGGAUUGUGCUGCUUGAUUGCGCGAAUGCCGACAGCUCCGUUCAUUGAAGUAGACGACGUGUUCAGCUUCAUCAAGAAUAUAUUUUCGAGCAGUGUGGACGCAGGAAACUAAAGGAAACGUGAACCAGUUCCAUCGAUCCGUGGAUGGCUUGAUUGAACCGGAAUUUCAAAAGAAAACGGCGUGGAGAGAAAGCGUUAAAUGAAAUUUAAAUAAAAUGCAAUAAAAAAACAAUUUAGAAAUACUGCUAAAUUUACUGUAUAAAUGAUUGAUAUCACUGUCCAAAUAUAGUUUUUAAAGUAAGAUUAAGUACAGAAGAAACAUUAAAAAAUAUAAUUUCACUGUGUAUUACAUUGUAGUGCUUAUUUAUUUAAUUGUCCGAAUAUAGUUUUUACAGUACCAUUUAGUAGGGAAAAAAACCAUGAAGCACUGUAAAUUUACUGUGCAAUGCAUUGUAAUGCUUGCUGUUUUUAUUAUUAAUGCAUGAUGUUUUCUAUAGUCAGGACGAAUUUUUGGAUGAAAAAUGCAACAUUAGAUUAACAGUAAAAUGCGUCGUAUUUGGAAAAAAAAUGUAUGGAAAAAUUUCGAAAUUUUUAUGGUACCGGUGCAUAACAACCCCCCUUUUUUAUGGUAAAGUCCCAAAAUACGACGCAAAUUAUCUUAAAAAACGAUGCUGUCUACUGUUAAAACACUGUCAAAAUGACAAUAUAUUUUAUCGUUUUGUAACCUUAAAAUUUACUGUAAGUUCAUCAGAAAUCUUUA